GAUGAAGAACGUAGCGAAAUGCGAUAAGUAGUGUGAAUUGCAGAAUUCAGUGAAUCAUCGAAUCUUUGAACGCACAUUGCGCCCUUUGGUAUUCCAAAGGGCAUGCCUGUUCGAGCGUCAUUUGUACCCUCAAGCUUUGCUUGGUGUUGGGCGUCUUGUCUCCAGUUCGCUGGAGACUCGCCUUAAAGUAAUUGGCAGCCGGCCUACUGGUUUCGGAGCGCAGCACAAGUCGCGCUCUCUUCCAGCCAAGGUCAGCAUCCAAAAGCCUUUUUUCAACUUUUGACCUCGGAUCAGGUAGGGAUACCCGCUGAACUUAAGCAUAUCAAUAAGCGGAGGA
RNAcentral lists this unclassified non-coding RNA (337 nucleotides) under soil metagenome. RNAcentral's name for it is "partial contains 5.8S ribosomal RNA, internal transcribed spacer 2, and large subunit ribosomal RNA". The stretch from base 1 to 120 matches the Rfam family "5.8S ribosomal RNA", at positions 35 to 154 of the family's 154-position model. The record is from RNAcentral.